CAUUGAGGUGCAUGCAUGCAGUUGCAUAUUACAGGGCAACAUCUCCAUUGGCAGGCUGCAUACUUAUUACAUCCAUCUCAUAUAUACGUAUGUUCUUCAGUCAGUGUGCCUUCUGCCAAAGGAGAUUUGCCCGGCAAUUCCUCUGCAUUUAUUUU
This 155-nucleotide microRNA precursor is filed under the name Citrus sinensis (sweet orange). RNAcentral describes it as "miR399a stem-loop (csi-MIR399a)". Its record names the gene csi-MIR399a. The stretch from base 20 to 144 matches the Rfam family "mir-399 microRNA precursor family". Rfam says of the family: mir-399 was identified in both Arabidopsis thaliana and Oryza sativa computationally and was later experimentally verified. mir-399 is thought to target mRNAs coding for a phosphatase transporter. The mature sequence is excised from the 3' arm of the hairpin. The record is from miRBase by way of RNAcentral. Lineage: Eukaryota; Viridiplantae; Streptophyta; Magnoliopsida; Sapindales; Rutaceae.